AUUUACGAGACUUGCUCGACCUGUAGAUUCUUGUUUAUGUGUAUUCCUUAUGGAUGAUUUACAAAAACAAGAGAUUUUUUAAAAUUUAACUACUGAUUUUGUGCUAAUGUAUCAAUACAUUAAUAGAAAUUUACUAUAAAUACUCUAUAUGGUAGAAAAUGUCUGAUAUACUACAUAAAUAUAAUUUCGAUAUUCAAAUUUAGGAAGAGAUUUUGAGGUUAACAGCCGAAAUGUGAGGUUGCGACUGAUCAUUUUGUAAACAAAAGUUGAAAAGACAUGUUUGUCCUCCUAAUCUUAACUGUUUUUAAUACCUAUAAUGUUGAAAUUUUGCUUUCUCUAUUUAAUUAGAGUAUUUUUUAAGAUAUCACCGUAAUUCGGUCUUAAAUUUCGAUGAAAUAUAGUUUUUUAGUGAUAUUCUCCAAGCAAAAGGGUGAACUUUUGUAAACCAUUCUAUUUUUUAUAAUAAAAAUGAUAAUUUGCUUUGCCCCGGACUGUAAACACUAUAAUGAAAGAUGGUUAUGUAGAUUCUUUAUGUUUACAAAGGAUCUAGUUGAAAAAAAGAGGUAGAUUUCAUUACUAAGUAAGAAAAUAUAGUGAUAGUAAAGAACUGAAUUUAUCCCUUUAUUACUAUUGACUCACAGACGGAAAGAUAGGGAACCAUUCUUUAGUUUGCUGGUGCCACUUUGUGAAUUCUGACCAACAAAAUGACCCAACAUUUUUAGAGCAUAUCAAGCCAAAGGUUUUUUUGAUGGACAAUUAACCUUUACAUCUAAAUUAAAAGAGUAAAGUAUAUUUUGCUUCUUGAAAUGGCAUUCAAUAUCAACUUGAGAAAGAAACAGUUUGAUUUGUUGGUAAUGACCGAAGAUGAAAUCCAAGAACUUAUGGAUUCUGUUGAAACUGAUUGGAAAAAAGCAAAACAUCCCAUUGAUGACAUUCGCGGUGACAGUAUUGAUCACUUUCCACUUUAGCUCAGCAAAGAGGAUGGUAAAAAAAUGCAGCCAGGAGAAGGGCAUGGCUCUAACCCUCAACAAUGAGCAUUACAGAAAAUUAACAGUUCCCUAGGUAACCAUCCACUGAAAAUCUUAGAAGAAUAAUAGAGCCCCCAAGGCAACCAUAAGAGUAAUUGUUGACAUUACCGCAGUUCAUCAGGUAACCAUAUUGUCUUAUUUGGACCUACCAUCUGACCCCUACUGAAGAUCGUAAAGAACUCAAGACAGCACCUUAAGAAGCCUUCAGACCAUCAGCUAAGAUCCUUAAUAAAAUAUAUAGCUGGCCUGUAAACAUAGACAGACUAUUUUUAUAUAAAGUAACAUCAUAAAUUCUAAAAUGUAGAUCUUGAAUUGUGACCAUAAUAAAAUGAGAAAAUAAAGCAUUUAUACUGAA
This is a long non-coding RNA of Diabrotica virgifera virgifera (western corn rootworm), 1383 nucleotides long. RefSeq lists it as uncharacterized. Lineage: Eukaryota; Metazoa; Arthropoda; Insecta; Coleoptera; Chrysomelidae. The record is from RefSeq and is a predicted model, not a curated record. The transcript has 3 exons.